AACGAACGCUGGCGGCAUGCCUAACACAUGCAAGUCGAACGAGACCUUCGGGUCUAGUGGCGCACGGGUGCGUAACGCGUGGGAACCUGCCCUUAGGCUCGGAAUAACUCUCCGAAAGGGGUGCUAAUACCGGAUAAUGUCUUCGGACCAAAGAUUUAUCGACUUUGGAUGGGCCCGCGUUGGAUUAGCUAGUUGGUAGGGUAAAAGCCUACCAAGGCGACGAUCCAUAGCUGGUCUGAGAGGAUGAUCAGCCACACUGGGACUGAGACACGGCCCAGACUCCUACGGGAGGCAGCAGUGGGGAAUAUUGGACAAUGGGCGAAAGCCUGAUCCAGCAAUGCCGCGUGAGUGAUGAAGGCCUUAGGGUUGUAAAGCUCUUUUACCCGGGAUGAUAAUGACAGUACCGGGAGAAUAAGCUCCGGCUAACUCCGUG
Molecule: ribosomal RNA, 433 nt
Filed under: uncultured bacterium
Lineage: Bacteria
Description: partial 16S ribosomal RNA
Rfam family: Bacterial small subunit ribosomal RNA
Source: RNAcentral